AUAUAUGUUUGUAUCAUAUCUGAACAGAGCCAAGCCAGAGGGUUGUUGUCCCGCAAUGGUGAGCUACUUUCAAAAACUUGUCCUUAGUUUGAAUUGCAAGUUGCAAUUCGCUUGCAUGAAGCUGGAAUCACUAGUAAUCACUAAUCAACCAUACAAUAGUGAAUUCAUU
This 169-nucleotide non-coding RNA is filed under the name Vitis vinifera (wine grape). RNAcentral describes it as "Bacterial small subunit ribosomal RNA". It matches the Rfam family "Bacterial small subunit ribosomal RNA", at positions 1202 to 1372 of the family's 1533-position model. Lineage: Eukaryota; Viridiplantae; Streptophyta; Magnoliopsida; Vitales; Vitaceae. The record is from Rfam by way of RNAcentral.